This 465-nucleotide ribosomal RNA is filed under the name uncultured bacterium. RNAcentral's name for it is "partial 16S ribosomal RNA". It matches the Rfam family "Bacterial small subunit ribosomal RNA", at positions 28 to 507 of the family's 1533-position model. The record is from RNAcentral.
GAUGAACGCUGGCGGCGUGCUUAACACAUGCAAGUCGAACGGAAAGGCUCCUGCUUGCCGGGGUACUCGAGUGGCGAACGGGUGAGUAACACGUGGGUGAUCUGCCCUGCACUUCGGGAUAAGCCUGGGAAACUGGGUCUAAUACCGGAUAGGACGAUGGUUUGGAUGCCAUUGUGGAAAGUUUUUCGGUGUGGGAUGAGCUCGCGGCCUAUCAGCUUGUUGGUGGGGUAAUGGCCUACCAAGGCGUCGACGGGUAGCCGGCCUGAGAGGGUGUACGGCCACAUUGGGACUGAGAUACGGCCCAGACUCCUACGGGAGGCAGCAGUGAGGAAUAGUGCACAAUGGGCGCAAGCCUGAUGCAGCGACGCCGCGUGGGGGAUGACGGCCUUCGGGUUGUAAACUCCUUUCGCUAGGGACGAAGCGCAAGUGACGGUACCUGGAGAAGAAGCACCGGCUAACUACGUG